UACAGAGGCCUCAAGCGUUGUUCGGAUUCAUUGGGCGUAAAGGGUGCGUAGGCGGGCAGGUAAGUCCGUGGUGAAAUCUCUGAGCUUAACUCAGAAACUGCCAUGGAUACUAUUUGUCUUGAAUAUUGUGGAGGUGAGCGGAAUAUGUCAUGUAGCGGUGAAAUGCUUAGAUAUGACAUAGAACACCAAUUGCGAAGGCAGCUCACUACACAGUUAUUGACGCUGAGGCACGAAAGCGUGGGGAUCAAACAGG
Molecule: ribosomal RNA, 253 nt
Filed under: uncultured bacterium
Lineage: Bacteria
Description: partial 16S ribosomal RNA
Rfam family: Bacterial small subunit ribosomal RNA
Source: RNAcentral